GGGCGUAAAGGGCUCGCAGGCGGUUUCUUAAGUCUGAUGUGAAAGCCCCCGGCUCAACCGGGGAGGGUCAUUGGAAACUGGGAAACUUGAGUGCAGAAGAGGAGAGUGGAAUUCCACGUGUAGCGGUGAAAUGCGUAGAGAUGUGGAGGAACACCAGUGGCGAAGGCGACUCUCUGGUCUGUAACUGACGCUGAGGAGCGAAAGCGUGGGGAGCGAACAGGAUUAGAUACCCUGGUAGUCCACGCCGUAAACGAUGAGUGCUAAGUGUUAGGGGGUUUCCGCCCCUUAGUGCUGCAGCUAACGCAUUAAGCACUCCGCCUGGGGAGUACGGUCGCAAGACUGAAACUCAAAGGAAUUGACGGGGGCCCGCACAAGCGGUGGAGCAUGUGGUUUAAUUCGAAGCAACGCGAAGAACCUUACCAGGUCUUGACAUCCUCUGACAACCCUAGAGAUAGGGCUUUCCCUUCGGGGACAGAGUGACAGGUGGUGCAUGGUUGUCGUCAGCUCGUGUCGUGAGAUGUUGGGUUAAGUCCCGCAACGAGCGCAACCCUUGAUCUUAGUUGCCAGCAUUUAUUUGGGCACUCUAAGGUGACUGCCGGUGACAAACCGGAGGAAGGUGGGGAUGACGUCAAAUCAUCAUGCCCCUUAUGACCUGGGCUACACACGUGCUACAAUGGACAGAACAAAGGGCUGCGAGACCGCAAGGUUUAGCCAAUCCCACAAAUCUGUUCUCAGUUCGGAUCGCAGUCUGCAACUCGACUGCGUGAAGCUGGAAUCGCUAGUAAUCGCGGAUCACCAUGCCGCGGUGAAUACGUUCCCGGGCCUUGUACACACCGCCCGUCACACCACGAGAGUUUGCAACACCCGAAGUCGGUGAGGUAA
This 882-nucleotide ribosomal RNA is filed under the name Bacillus altitudinis. RNAcentral's name for it is "bacterial SSU rRNA". It matches the Rfam family "Bacterial small subunit ribosomal RNA", at positions 556 to 1438 of the family's 1533-position model. The record is from RNAcentral. Lineage: Bacteria; Bacillati; Bacillota; Bacilli; Caryophanales; Bacillaceae.